Molecule: ribosomal RNA, 465 nt
Filed under: uncultured bacterium
Lineage: Bacteria
Description: partial 16S ribosomal RNA
Rfam family: Bacterial small subunit ribosomal RNA
Source: RNAcentral
GAUGAACGCUGGCGGCGUGCUUAACACAUGCAAGUCGAACGGAAAGGCUCCUGCUUGCAGGGGUACUCGAGUGGCGAACGGGUGAGUAACACGUGGGUGAUCUGCCCUGCACUUCGGGAUAAGCCUGGGAAACUGGGUCUAAUACCGGAUAGGACGAUGGUUUGGAUGCCAUUGUGGAAAGUUUUUCGGUGUGGGAUGAGCUCGCGGCCUAUCAGCUUGUUGGUGGGGUAAUGGCCUACCAAGGCGUCGACGGGUAGCCGGCCUGAGAGGGUGUACGGCCACAUUGGGACUGAGAUACGGCCCAGACUCCUACGGGAGGCAGCAGUGGGGUAUAUUGCACAAUGGGCGCAAGCCUGAUGCAGCGACGCCGCGUGGGGGAUGACGGCCUUCGGGUUGUAAACUCCUUUCGCUAGGGACGAAGCGCAAGUGACGGUACCUGGAGAAGAAGCACCGGCUAACUACGUG